RNAcentral lists this ribosomal RNA (401 nucleotides) under uncultured Spirochaeta sp. RNAcentral describes it as "bacterial SSU rRNA". It matches the Rfam family "Bacterial small subunit ribosomal RNA", at positions 985 to 1382 of the family's 1533-position model. The record is from RNAcentral. Lineage: Bacteria; Pseudomonadati; Spirochaetota; Spirochaetia; Spirochaetales; Spirochaetaceae.
CGUAGGAAGUGGGGCGGGACGUACCGUCACGUCCGUUUCGGGGCCGGCGUACAGGUGCUGCAUGGCUGUCGUCAGCUCGUGCUGUGAAGUGUUGGGUUAAGUCCCGCAACGAGCGCCAACCCCUGCUAUCUGUUGCCAGCAAGUGAUGGUUGGGGACUCAGAUGGAACUGCCGGUGACAAACCGGAGGAAGGUGGGGACGACGUCAAGUCAUCAUGGCCCUUAUGUCCUGGGCUACACACGUGCUACAAUGGCCGGUACAGAGCGCAGCGAAGCCGCGAGGCAAAGCGAAUCGCAAAAAGCCGGUCUCAGUACGGAUUGGAGUCUGAAACCCGACUCCAUGAAGUUGGAAUCGCUAGUAAUCGCGCAUCAGCAUGGCGCGGUGAAUACGUUCCCGGGCCUU